GAUGAACGCUGGCGGCGUGCCUAAUACAUGCAAGUCGAGCGAACAGAUGAGGAGCUUGCUCCUCAGACGUUAGCGGCGGACGGGUGAGUAACACGUGGAUAACCUACCUAUAAGACUGGGAUAACUUCGGGAAACCGGAGCUAAUACCGGAUAAUAUAUUGAACCGCAUGGUUCAAUAGUGAAAGACGGUUUUGCUGUCACUUAUAGAUGGAUCCGCGCCGCAUUAGCUAGUUGGUAAGGUAACGGCUUACCAAGGCAACGAUGCGUAGCCGACCUGAGAGGGUGAUCGGCCACACUGGAACUGAGACACGGUCCAGACUCCUACGGGAGGCAGCAGUAGGGAAUCUUCCGCAAUGGGCGAAAGCCUGACGGAGCAACGCCGCGUGAGUGAUGAAGGUCUUCGGAUCGUAAAACUCUGUUAUUAGGGAAGAACAAAUGUGUAAGUAACUAUGCACGUCUUGACGGUACCUAAUCAGAAAGCCACGGCUAACUACGUG
RNAcentral lists this ribosomal RNA (497 nucleotides) under uncultured bacterium. RNAcentral's name for it is "partial 16S ribosomal RNA". It matches the Rfam family "Bacterial small subunit ribosomal RNA", at positions 28 to 507 of the family's 1533-position model. The record is from RNAcentral.